This 481-nucleotide ribosomal RNA is filed under the name uncultured bacterium. Its description in RNAcentral is "SSU rRNA". It matches the Rfam family "Bacterial small subunit ribosomal RNA", at positions 26 to 518 of the family's 1533-position model. The record is from RNAcentral.
AGGACGAACGCUGGCGGCGUGCCUAACACAUGCAAGUCGAACGAGGUCCAACCGGUGGCAACACUGGUGAAGACCUAGUGGCGAACGGGUGAGUAUCACGUGAGCAACCUGCCCCGAAGACUGGGAUAACACCGGGAAACCGGUGCUAAUACCGGAUACCCCCACCGGAUCGCAUGGUCUGGUGAGGAAAUGAAUUUUGCUUUGGGAGGGACUCGCGGCCUAUCAGCUUGUUGGUGGUGUAACGGACCACCAAGGCUUCGACGGGUAGCUGGUCUGAGAGGACGAUCAGCCACACUGGGACUGAGACACGGCCCAGACUCCUACGGGAGGCAGCAGUGGGGAAUCUUGCGCAAUGGGCGAAAGCCUGACGCAGCAACGCCGCGUGGGGGACGAAGGCCUUCUGGGUUGUAAACCCCUUUCAGCAGGGACGAUGAUGACGGUACCUGCAGAAGAAGCCCGGCAACUACGUGCCAGCAGCCGC